GUCGAGAAUCUUCCGCAAUGCGCGAAAGCGUGACGGAGCGACACCGCGUGAUGGAUGAAGUCCUUCGGGGCGUAAACAUCUUUUAUAAAGGAGGAGAUUUUUGACGUUACUUUAUGAAUAAGGGGCUCCCAAUCUCGUGCCAGCAGGAGCGGUAAUACGAGAGCCUCAAGCGUUAUCCGGAAUCAUUGGGCGUAAAGGGUGCGUCGGUGGUUUGAUUAGUCUCCCGUUAAAACUUCGAGCUUAACUCGAAAAGAGCGGGGGAAACGGUCAAACUAGAGUAUGUGAGAGGUGUGUGGAACUCAUGGUGUAGGGGUGAAAUCCGUUGAUAUCAUGGGGAACACCAAAAGCGAAGGCAGCACACUGGCACAUCACUGACACUGAGGCACGAAACCUAAGGUAGCGAAUGGGAUUAGAUACCCCUGUAGUCC
RNAcentral lists this ribosomal RNA (428 nucleotides) under uncultured bacterium. RNAcentral describes it as "bacterial SSU rRNA". It matches the Rfam family "Bacterial small subunit ribosomal RNA", at positions 354 to 796 of the family's 1533-position model. The record is from RNAcentral.